This is a non-coding RNA of Pelobates cultripes (western spadefoot toad), 360 nucleotides long. Lineage: Eukaryota; Metazoa; Chordata; Amphibia; Anura; Pelobatidae. The record is from the annotation of a GenBank genome assembly.
GAGGAGGUAGCCAAUACUGUUUUAUAUAUAUAUAUAUAUAUAUAUUAAUUGGGGUAGCCCCCAAAAUAUUGGGACAUAUAAAAAAGAAAACUCUGUUCCGCAGAGUAGCUGUUGACAUUAUAGUUGCGCAGGAACUUUGUUGACUCUAGAGAACCAAUUGCACAUCCCCGUGGCAGCGACUUUGCAAUGCGGAUGUCAUCCAUAUCAACUUUCGAUGCCAGUUUCUGCGCCUAUCAUGGUGACCACAGGUAACGGGAAUCAGGGUUCCAUUCCGUACAGGGUCCUUGAGAAACGGCUACCACAUGCAAGGAAGGCGGCAGGCGUGCAAAUGACGCACUCCCGACGCGGGAAGGUAGUGAC